CACGUCAACGCGUUUUGUUGACGUGGCAGAAAAUCGCGUCCACGUAAACGCGAUUUGUGUCUACGUCAGCAAAGCGCGCUAACGUGG
Gossypium hirsutum (cotton) is the source of this 87-nucleotide non-coding RNA. The record is from Rfam. NCBI's taxonomy places the organism in Eukaryota, Viridiplantae, Streptophyta, Magnoliopsida, Malvales, Malvaceae.